AUUGAACGCUGGCGGCAGGCCUAACACAUGCAAGUCGAGCGGUAGAGAGAAGCUUGCUUCUCUUGAGAGCGGCGGACGGGUGAGUAAUGCCUAGGAAUCUGCCUGGUAGUGGGGGAUAACGUUCGGAAACGGACGCUAAUACCGCAUACGUCCUUCGGGAGAAAGCAGGGGACCUUCGGGCCUUGCGCUAUCAGAUGAGCCUAGGUCGGAUUAGCUAGUUGGUGGGGUAAUGGCUCACCAAGGCGACGAUCCGUAACUGGUCUGAGAGGAUGAUCAGUCACACUGGAACUGAGACACGGUCCAGACUCCUACGGGAGGCAGCAGUGGGGAAUAUUGGACAAUGGGCGAAAGCCUGAUCCAGCCAUGCCGCGUGUGUGAAGAAGGUCUUCGGAUUGUAAAGCACUUUAAGUUGGGAGGAAGGGUUGUAGAUUAAUACUCUGCAAUUUUGACGUUACCGACAGAAUAAGCACCGGCUAACUCUGUG
Molecule: ribosomal RNA, 484 nt
Filed under: uncultured bacterium
Lineage: Bacteria
Description: partial 16S ribosomal RNA
Rfam family: Bacterial small subunit ribosomal RNA
Source: RNAcentral